Non-coding RNA from Triticum urartu, 126 nucleotides. The record is from Rfam. NCBI's taxonomy places the organism in Eukaryota, Viridiplantae, Streptophyta, Magnoliopsida, Poales, Poaceae.
AUGAUACACCCUCCAUCCGAAAAAGCUUGUCCCUCAAAUGGAUGUAUCUAGCAUCAAGUUAGUGCUAGAUACAUUCAUUUGAGCAACAAGCUUGGGACAUGUUUUUUCAGACGGAGGGAGUACAAG